Molecule: long non-coding RNA, 1041 nt
Filed under: Capsella grandiflora
Lineage: Eukaryota; Viridiplantae; Streptophyta; Magnoliopsida; Brassicales; Brassicaceae
Description: long non-coding RNA (CGRA_LNC000826)
Source: RNAcentral
GUCGGAGCAUGGUUACCGAAAUCUUUAUCCGGCGAAGAUUGCUAGCUAGAGAAAGAUGUACUUUUUGGAUAAGGAUUUCAUGAAAAUAAGUAACCGACCCGGUUUAAGUUUUUGAUUGAAUGUGUUUCUUUUUUUCCUAAUUGACUAAUUUUGUUGGCACAUUCAUCUGAGAUAUGUUUUGUCUUGUUGUGUUCUGUCAUGAAGGGUAGGUAUUCUUAGACGUCAUGUCACAUUGUCAAUGGAGUUGAGGAAUAGAAUCGGACCAUAGUCUCUACAUUACAUCAAAAACUUUAUUUAUAUGAUUUUCUCCAUGUCAUCAACAAAUUACUAAUAUUUUAUUACAUGAAAACAUAAGGAUUACAUAACCAAAAUCAAAUUAAAAAAAGAAACAAAUACCAUAGUACUUUAGAAUCAUCAAGAUUUAAGAACAUAUACAUAUAAAAAAUAUCAUUCUUCAACCACUGAUGAAGUCGACAAGCUUGUUCAAAAACUUCAAAGCCUUAUCAGAAUCAGGUUUCUGCAAAUGAAACACAUGUCCUUCAUCUUUCUCCUCAACCACUUCCACAGUCCCUCCCCACUCACACUUCUCCAGCUUCGCCGCGUAAGCCAAAGCUUGCCUCGCAAACACAUCUUUCCCAGCCACAGCAACCAAAACCUUCUCACAACCCAACCCCGUAAAAUCCGACCCGGAUCCGUUUACGUUAAACAACGGGUCGUCAGUUCCGUUCACACUAUUCGGACUCGCGACUUUUUCCCAAACCUCCGCGAUUCCGCUUCUCGUCUCUUUGUCUUGCACAUCGAACUCAUCGACCGGAUCUGUUCCCCAGAAAGCUGGAUGAACAACUCCGAUGCCUUUGAUUUUGAUACCUAGCUUCUUCUCUUCACCAGCUUUCAUCGCCAGGUGAUGCGAUAUGUUACCUCCGGCGCUGUCUCCGGCGAGGAACACUCUCCCGAAAUCCGCGUGUUUGUUAAUCCAAUCUUCAGGACCACCAGAUCCGUUAGCAUGAGAGAAGGUCCAUUGGAUCGCGGACCAUACAUNNN